This 558-nucleotide ribosomal RNA is filed under the name Xanthoparmelia dierythra. Its description in RNAcentral is "eukaryotic LSU rRNA". It matches the Rfam family "Eukaryotic large subunit ribosomal RNA", at positions 71 to 641 of the family's 3401-position model. The record is from RNAcentral. Lineage: Eukaryota; Fungi; Ascomycota; Lecanoromycetes; Lecanorales; Parmeliaceae.
GGGAUUGCCUCAGUAACGGCGAGUGAAGCGGCAACAGCUCAAAUUUGAAAUCUGGCUCCUUCGGGGUCCGAAUUGUAAUUUGUAGAGAGUGCUUCGGGCGAGACCUCGGUCUAAGUCCAUUGGAACAUGGUGUCAUAGAGGGUGAGAAUCCCGUAUGCGACCGUGGCUCGAGCCCAUGUGAAGCCUCUUCGACGAGUCGAGUUGUUUGGGAAUGCAGCUCAAAAUGGGUGGUAAAUUUCAUCUAAAGCUAAAUACUGGCUGGAGACCGAUAGCGCACAAGUAGAGUGAUCGAAAGACGAAAAGCACUUUGGAAAGAGAGUUAAACAGUACGUGAAAUUGUUGAAAGGGAAGCGCUUGCAACCAGACCUGCCCGUAGGCGAUCCGCCGCUGUUCUCAGCGGUGUACUCGCUCUGCGAUCAGGCCAGCAUCGGUUUCGGCGGUCGGAUAAAGGCCUUGGGAAUGUAGCUUCCCUUCGGGGGAGUCUUAUAGCCCUCGGUGCAAUGCGGCCAGCCGGGACCGAGGACCGCGCUUCGGCUAGGAUGCUGGCGUAAUGGUUGU